AGCGGAGGAAAAGAAACUAACGAGGAUUCCCCUAGUAACUGCGAGUGAAGCGGGAAGAGCUCAAAUUUCGAAUCUGGCGGCCAAGGGUCGUCCGAGUUGUAAUCUAGAGAAGCGUCUUCCGCGCUGGACCGUGUACAAGUCUCCUGGAAGGGAGCGUCGUAGAGGGUGACAAUCCCGUCUCUGACACGGACCCCCAGUGCUCUGUGAUGCGCUCUCGACGAGUCGAGUUGUUUGGGAAUGCAGCUCAAAUAGGGUGGUAAACUCCAUCUAAAGCUAAAUACAGGCGAGAGACCGAUAGCGAACAAGUACCGUGAGGGAAAGAUGAAAAGAACUUUGGAAAGAGAGUUAAACAGUACGUGAAAUUGCUGGAAGGGAAACGCUUGACGUCAGUCGCGUCGUCCGGGGAUCAACCCUGCUGCUAGCUGGGCGUACUUCCCGGUCGACGGGUCAGCAUCGAUUUCGGCCGUCGUAGAAGGACGGGAGUGAAUGUGGCACCCCUCGGAGUGUGUUAUAGCCUCUCGUAUGGAUGCGACGGCCGGGAUCGAGGAACUCGGCACGACCCCCUCGAGGGUUCGGGGCUUCGGUCCACGCGGCGUGCCCAGGAUGCUGGCGUAAUGGCUUUAAGCGACCCGUCUUGAAACACGGACCAAGGAGUCUAACAUGCCUGCGAGUGUUUGGGCGGAAAACCCGAGCGCGCAACGAAAGUGAAAGUCGAGACCUCCGUCGUGGAGGGCACCGACGCCCGGACCGGAGCCUUUGGCGAUGGAUCUGCGGUGGAGCAUGUAUGUUGGGACCCGAAAGAUGGUGAACUAUGCCUGAAUAGGGCGAAGCCAGAGGAAACUCUGGUGGAGGCUCGUAGCGAUUCUGACGUGCAAAUCGAUCGUCGAAUUUGGGUAUAGGGCGAAAGACUAAUC
This is a ribosomal RNA of 914 nucleotides. It matches the Rfam family "Eukaryotic large subunit ribosomal RNA", at positions 49 to 936 of the family's 3401-position model.